Molecule: unclassified non-coding RNA, 520 nt
Filed under: uncultured Glomus
Lineage: Eukaryota; Fungi; Glomeromycota; Glomeromycetes; Glomerales; Glomeraceae
Description: SSU rRNA
Rfam family: Eukaryotic small subunit ribosomal RNA
Source: RNAcentral
AGCAGCCGCGGUAAUUCCAGCUCCAAUAGCGUAUAUUAAAGUUGUUGCAGUUAAAAAGCUCGUAGUUGAAUUUCGGGAUCAAUUAAUUGGUCGUGCCUCUGGUACGUACUGAUUUUAUUGGUUUCUCCCUUCUGACGAACCAUGAUGUCAUUAAUUUGGUGUCGUGGAGAAUCAGGACUGUUACUUUGAAAAAUUAGAGUGUUUAAAGCAAGCUAACGCUUGAAUACAUUAGCAUGGAAUAAUGAAAUAGGACGUUUGAUCCUAUUUUGUUGGUUUCUAGGAUCGACGUAAUGAUUAAUAGGGAUAGUUGGGGGCAUUAGUAUUCAAUUGUCAGAGGUGAAAUUCUUGGAUUUAUUGAAGACUAACUACUGCGAAAGCAUUUGCCAAGGAUGUUUUCAUUAAUCAAGAACGAAAGUUAGGGGAUCGAAGACGAUCAGAUACCGUCGUAGUCUUAACCAUAAACUAUGCCGACUAGGGAUCGGAUGAUGUUAAUUUUUUAAUGUACUCAUUCGGCGCCUUA